AAGACCUUACUUCAUAGGAUCAUUUCUAUAGUAAGCGCUUCCUGAGUCUUCCACAAUAUGUCGAUGAUCGUUCACUUCCCUUUGCGGGGGAGAGUGGGGUGUUUGUCGCUGUCUGAGUGGU
Molecule: small nucleolar RNA, 121 nt
Filed under: Operophtera brumata (winter moth)
Lineage: Eukaryota; Metazoa; Arthropoda; Insecta; Lepidoptera; Geometridae
Description: Small nucleolar RNA U3
Rfam family: Small nucleolar RNA U3
About the family: Small nucleolar RNAs (snoRNAs) are involved in the processing and modification of rRNA in the nucleolus. There are two main classes of snoRNAs: the box C/D class, and the box H/ACA class.
Source: Rfam by way of RNAcentral